Molecule: long non-coding RNA, 679 nt
Filed under: Triticum aestivum (bread wheat)
Lineage: Eukaryota; Viridiplantae; Streptophyta; Magnoliopsida; Poales; Poaceae
Description: long non-coding RNA (TAES_LNC026534)
Source: RNAcentral
CUCUGCAUAGCAGCUCCGGCGGCCACUGCAUCGUAGCUUCGGUGGCAUCGAUGACCGCUGCAUAGCAGCUCCGGCUGCAUCGAUGGAGCACCGCCGGCUGCGCCGGAGCUGGCGCUGCAGAGCGUGGCAGCGGUGCUACGAUGAAGCUCGACGGUGGCAGCUAAAAGUUUUGCGGGGUGCUAUCUUUUUCAUUCCUCGACGUGGUGUUCCUUUUCUUCCUUUUGGUGAUGCGGAGUGCAUGCAGGAGUAGUUGACUGAGGCCCUGUUUGGUUCAUAAGUCCUAGGACUUUUUUAGUCCCAACUUAUAAGUCUCAACUCCCUAAAAAGUCUCUACCUAUUUGGUUCCUGGGACUUAUAAGUCUCUAUAAGACCAUAUUACAACAAUAAGUCUCUAUAAGUCCCUUCUUGAAAGUCUUAUUUCAUAAGUUCCAAAUGCCCACUUUAAGUUCCUAUAAGUCCUUCCUGUUAUAUUUAGAUGAGACCUAUAGGGACUUAUUUAAGUCCCUAGACCAAUAAGUCCCUAGAAACAAACACCCUCUAAGACGAAGGGACUUGUGUGAUCCAAUGGUCAUACAAAGCCUGAUCCAAUGGUCCACGAGGCGGUUGAUUUUUUGCCCCGCGUCAGUCGGAUGACGCUUAGCAGUGGCCAAUUUUAUAUUUACUUUGUACUAAAGUUAAU